This 57-nucleotide transfer RNA is filed under the name Diaphorina citri (Asian citrus psyllid). It matches the Rfam family "tRNA", at positions 8 to 63 of the family's 71-position model. Rfam says of the family: Transfer RNA (tRNA) molecules are approximately 80 nucleotides in length. Their secondary structure includes four short double-helical elements and three loops (D, anti-codon, and T loops). Further hydrogen bonds mediate the characteristic L-shaped molecular structure. tRNAs have two regions of fundamental functional importance: the anti-codon, which is responsible for specific mRNA codon recognition, and the 3' end, to which the tRNAs corresponding amino acid is attached (by aminoacyl-tRNA synthetases). tRNAs cope with the degeneracy of the genetic code in two manners: having more than one tRNA (with a specific anti-codon) for a particular amino acid; and 'wobble' base-pairing, i.e. permitting non-standard base-pairing at the 3rd anti-codon position. Lineage: Eukaryota; Metazoa; Arthropoda; Insecta; Hemiptera; Psyllidae. The record is from Rfam by way of RNAcentral.
UAGCAUAGUGGUCACUGCGCUCGCCUUGCACGCGGGAGACCCGGGUUCGAUUCCCGG